Molecule: small nuclear RNA, 288 nt
Filed under: Capra hircus (goat)
Lineage: Eukaryota; Metazoa; Chordata; Mammalia; Artiodactyla; Bovidae
Description: 7SK RNA (ENSCHIG00000005070.1)
Rfam family: 7SK RNA
About the family: 7SK was discovered as an abundant small nuclear RNA in the mid-70s but a possible function has only recently been suggested.
Source: RNAcentral
GCAUGUGAGGGUGACCCAUGACACCCGUUACCCCUUGAUCGCCAGCAUUAAUUCUGCUGGUCUGACCGGCUAAGCGAGCGUCCCUUUCUUCCCUUCCCACUCCCCCUGAAGCUGCAGGCUCAGUCUAAGAGGACGACCUCCCCCACAGAGAAAGACCUGUCUUCCAUCAGGGGUCCCGGAACAGCUGUCCCUCCCCACCCUGCUAGAACCUCCAAAAACUCAGGAAAUGAUUGACAGGGCUGAAAUGCAGUUACUUCAUUUCAAAUGUAACGCUUCCUUUUACCAUUU